RNAcentral lists this non-coding RNA (21 nucleotides) under Mus musculus (house mouse). The record is from RNAcentral. Lineage: Eukaryota; Metazoa; Chordata; Mammalia; Rodentia; Muridae.
UAACAAAUAAGCACUAAGGCC